UACGAUGAAGAGUUUGAUCCUGGCUCAGGAUGAACGCUAGCGGCAGGCCUAACACAUGCAAGUCGAGGGGUAACAGGGAGAGCUUGCUUUCUGCUGACGACCGGCGCACGGGUGCGUAACGCGUAUACAAUCUGCCUAUCACUGAGGGAUAGCCCGAAGAAAUUUGGAUUAACACCUCAUAGUAUUAUAGAAUCGCAUGGUUUUAUAAUUAAAGGUUACGGUGAUAGAUGAGUAUGCGUCCUAUUAGCUAGAUGGAGAGGUAAAGGCUCCCCAUGGCUACGAUAGGUAGGGGGGGUCCUGAGAGGGAGAUCCCCCCCCACACUGGUACUGAGACACGGACCAGACUCCUACGGGAGGCAGCAGUGAGGAAUAUUGGACAAUGGGCGCAAGCCUGAUCCAGCCAUGCCGCGUGUAGGAAGACGGCCCUAUGGGUUGUAAACUACUUUUAUACGGGAAGAAACCUAUCCUCGUGAGGAUAGCUGACGGUACCGUAAGAAUAAGCACCGGCUAACUCCGUGCCAGCAGCCGCGGUAAUACGGAGGGUGCAAGCGUUAUCCGGAAUCAUUGGGUUUAAAGGGUCCGUAGGCGGGCUAAUAAGUCAGUGGUGAAAUGCAGGGGCUCAACUCCGGCACUGCCAUUGAUACUGUUAGUCUUGAAUUAUUGUGAAGUGGUUAGAAUAUGUAGUGUAGCGGUGAAAUGCUUAGAUAUUACAUAGAAUACCGAUUGCGAAGGCAGAUCACUAACAAUAUAUUGACGCUGAUGGACGAAAGCGUGGGUAGCGAACAGGAUUAGAUACCCUGGUAGUCCACGCCGUAAACGAUGGUUACUAGCUGUUUGGACGAAUUGACGUCUGAGUGGCCAAGCGAAAGUGAUAAGUAACCCACCUGGGGAGUACGUUCGCAAGAAUGAAACUCAAAGGAAUUGACGGGGGGCCCGCACAAGCGGUGGAGCAUGUGGUUUAAUUCGAUGAUACGCGAGGAACCUUACCAGGGCUUAAAUGUAGUAUGACAGAUUUGGAAACAGAUUUUUCUUCGGACAUAUUACAAGGUGCUGCAUGGUUGUCGUCAGCUCGUGCCGUGAGGUGUCAGGUUAAGUCCUAUAACGAGCGCAACCCCCCUAUUGCUAGUUGCCAGCGAGUCAUGUCGGGGACUCUAGCGAGACUGCCGGUGCAAACCGUGAGGAAGGUGGGGGGGAUGACGUCAAAUCAUCACGGCCCUUACGUCCUGGGCCACACACGUGCUACAAUGGUAGGGACAGAGAGCAGCCACCACGCGAGUGGGAGCGAAUCUAUAAACCCUAUCACAGUUCGGAUCGUAGUCUGCAACUCGACUACGUGAAGCUGGAAUCGCUAGUAAUCGCAUAUCAGCCAUGAUGCGGUGAAUACGUUCCCGGGCCUUGUACACACCGCCCGUCAAGCCAUGGAAGCUGGGGGGGGUACCUGAAGUCGGUGACCGCAAGGAGCUGCCUAGGGUAAAACCGGUAACUGGGGGGGCUAAGUCGUAACAAGGUAGCCGUACCGGAAGGUGCGGCUGGAACACCUCCUUUCU
RNAcentral lists this ribosomal RNA (1547 nucleotides) under Nonlabens ulvanivorans. RNAcentral's name for it is "SSU rRNA". It matches the Rfam family "Bacterial small subunit ribosomal RNA". The record is from RNAcentral. Lineage: Bacteria; Pseudomonadati; Bacteroidota; Flavobacteriia; Flavobacteriales; Flavobacteriaceae.